Molecule: long non-coding RNA, 2892 nt
Organism: Piliocolobus tephrosceles (Ugandan red Colobus)
Lineage: Eukaryota; Metazoa; Chordata; Mammalia; Primates; Cercopithecidae
Source: Ensembl
AUGCUUAUAAGAAAUAUUUUUAUAAAAAAAAAUUAUUUUUUUAAUAUUGUUAAACAUAACCAAUUAAAACAAAGUGGAAGACACAAAUUAAUAAAAAAAGUAUAUUAUUCUAGUAAAAAAAACACAAUUACUGAUGAAAAAAAGAAUAAGGUAAAGAAUAAAUCUUAUGAAAACGUGGAUACAUAUAGUAAAGGGAAGGACAAGGGUGAGAGAAAGCUCGAUGAUAAUCACAAGCGGAGUGGCAAUAACGGCGGAAAUAAAGGCGGAAAUAAUGGCGGAAAUAAUGGCAGAAAUAAUGGAAGAAAUAAGGGCGAAAAAAACGGCGGAAAUAACGGCGACAAUAAUGGAAGCAAUAAUGGAAGCAAUAGCAAGGACAAAACAUGUGUACCUGAAGAAGUAACAGAUUUUCUGAAAAUGAAUAAUAAAAAUGAAAAGGGAUAUAUUAGUAAUUUAGUUUUAACAAUUUUAACUGGUGAACACAACAAAGAGACUAAAAAUAUUUAUAUAAACGAAAUCAAAGCAAUGAUAAAUCAGUUAUUAACAGAAAAUAAUAAAUUUGAUAAAAUAAAUAAAAAAAAAAAUAUAUUAUUUGUUGAUAUAUUUUUAGUAAUAUAUUUAUGUUAUAAAGAACAGAUUUAUGAUUUGAUUUUUUUAAAAAAUUUAAACUCAUUAUUUGAUAUUUUAUUAUUAAAUAAUGACAAAAAAUUAAAAAUAUUAUUAAAUGAAAAAAAUAUAAAUUAUUUUUUAAUGAUAUUUUAUUAUUUUUCAUUUUUAAAUAUUAAAAACAUAACUCUAUAUAAUAGUAUUAAAGAAUAUAUAAUAAAUAAUGUAACUGAGCCAAUAAUUAUAUAUAAAUAUAUCGAAUGUUUGAACCUUUUAAAAAACGCAGAUGAUAAUGUACAUACUAUGACCAAUAGUAAUAAAAAUAUAAAUUACCAUAUUUAUCCUAUUAUUCAAUUAAUAACUGAAGAGUUUGAUCAUUUUAAUAAUUUUUUUUUAAUUAACAUUUUAAAUUUUUUACAUAAUUUAAAUUUUAUUGAUAAAAGUUUAUUUUCCUUUUUGACUAAAAAAAUUAAUCAAAAUAUAUACAACGAAAAAGCAAAUCUUUUCGAGUUAUGUAUGUUAUCACAUAUAUACGCUUUAUAUAAAAAAGAAAACAUAACAUUUAAUAAAUAUUUGUAUGAAGAUUUGAUGAUUAAUAUAACAAAAUGGGAAGAUAAUUAUAAAAGUUAUGAGGGGGUAGGUAACAUAAAUGAUAUAAGUAAUAAUUUGAAUAAAAGUACAAUGGAGCAAAAAACAUUCUACAAAAAAAAUCAAUCAAUAAAAAAUACUGACAAAAAUGAGCUAUUCACGGAGGUUGGUAAAAAUGAAUUAAUAAAGGAAGGGGAAAAAUUGAAUGAAAAAAAAAUAUUAAAAGGAUCAGAUAACUCUUUAUAUACAGAACAUGAUCCUACGUAUAGCGAUGAAAUAUAUAUAGACGAAAUUGAAAACAUAAAUAGAAACAAUUACAAAUUUUUUCGAAAUCGUUUAUAUGUUGAUGGUUUAAAUUUUUAUUCUUUUUUUGUAAACUAUAAUACUACAAAUAAAAAAAAUAUAAAAUUAGUACAAAAACUUGAUAUUAAUAUUAUUACACCUUUAAAAGAAGAUAAACAAAAAAAUUGUAAGUUUAAUAACUCAGAAACUUUAACUUGGUAUAAGUUAUUUAUAGAAGAUGAUUAUAAAAAAAAAAAUAUAAAAAAUGAAAAACUUGUUUCUAAUGAUAUAAAUACAAAUAAUGAGAUUGAAUUAAUAAAUUUGUAUAAUAAUUUUAUGAAGGAAAAUUUACAUUAUGACUUUUCUCUUAAGAAUCUUAUAAAAAUUGCUAAAGAGUUAAACCAAGAGUUAGACAAUACAUACAUAAAUGUAGAUUAUAAUUUGAAUGUCGUAACUAAAGAUACUAAUAGUGAUAAUGUCAGUAAUAACGUCAGUGAUAAUGUCAAUGAUAAUGUCAAUGAUAAUGUCUAUGAUAAUGUCAGUAAUUGUAAUACAAAAGUUAAUACUGAAAAUGUCGAAAAUGUCGAAAAUGCUGAAAAUGUCGAAAAUGUCGAAAAUACUGAAAAUACUGAAAAUGUCGAAAAUGCUGAAAAUGUCGAAAUAUACGAAUACAAAAAAAAAUUAUUAUUUAUUAAUAAAUAUUAUAUAGGACAUAUAUUUUAUAUAAUAGAUAAUAUGUUAUCAUUAAAUGUACAUCAUAAUAUGCAUAAUAUAAAUAUAUUACAUAAUCGAAUUUUAAAUAUUAUUAAAUAUAAUGAAAAUUAUAUAAUAAAUAAUUUUGAUAGUAUUGAAAUAAAAAAUGUUUUAAUUUUUUUAUUACAUAGUAAUAAUACCGAUUAUAAAAAAAAUUUUAUUUAUAAUCUUAGUCAUAGAAUAGUUGACUUAUAUAUUAAUAAUCUUUGUACAGCUAAAACACUAGCAACCUUUUUUUCUACAUUAUUAAAAUUUACCAAACAAAAAACAAUUAAAAAAAAUAGAUUUAAUCAUACCAUUAGAAAUGUUAUAUAUAAUAGUUAUUUGUGGUUAAACGAUAAUAAACAAAUGAGUGAUGAAAAAGGAAGUGUGUAUACUAAUAAUAAUUUAGAAAAAAAUCAAACAAACAAUGUAUAUAAUCAUAUUAAAGUUAAAAGAUAUACUCUUUUACAGCUAUUAUCUAUAUAUAUAUGCAAACAUGUAUAUUUUAUGAAUAUAUCUACUCUUACUUUAUUAUUGAGAUCUUUGUCUUAUUUAUCAUUUAAUAAUGUCAGCUUUUAUAAUGUUUUUAUACCAUUAUUUAUGAAGCAUAUGGACAUUCUGGAAAAUGUGGAUAUCCUAAACAUAACACAUGUAAUAAAUUCAAUGCACAUGUUUGAGAUAUAA